GUCAUUCUUUACAUCUUUGAUUUUUUUUCACUGUUGUUUUUGUUUUAAUCAUAUGGCAUUUUUAUUUUGCUUGAAUUAGUGUUUAUCCUUGCUUUUUCCCAAAAGGAGAGAGUUGAUGUUUUACAUCGUAUUUAAGCACACAGGCCUCUUCUGAUACUUGGAUUUGUUUUAAAAAUACAGUAAAAAUGUCAGGUCUCAAUGUUGGCUUUUUCAAAGGGUCUCACACAUCAGAAUUUUUCACUUCUGAAACUAGAGGUGUUGCUCAGUGGUAGAGCCCAUGCUUAGCAUAAACAAGGCCUUGGGUUCCAUCCUCAGCAUGAAACAAAAAAGAAUAGUUCAGUUUCCCAGAGUGAGGACCACAUGUCAAAGAGCCUAGGUCAGGUAGACCUACAUUAUAUUUUAGAAAGUACCUCUUAUGCUGUCUGAGCCUUAGUUUUCUCAUUUGUACAGUAGGUAAUGAUUAACCUACAAUUUGUGAGGCUUAAAAAAAAACAGACAUACAGGGUUUAGGAUGGUGUUUAGAACAAAACAGUCUCCUAUAAGUGUGGAGCUUGUUUUCUUGGAUGCUAGAACCUGGGGGACUGCAUCCUGUUUGCCUGGGACAGCCCUGUGGUGUGCUUGUUGCCCCAGCAUGAUUAUUAACAGUGCCCCCUUUUGCUCUCAGAAGUCUCCCCAUUUGGGCAGUGAUUACAUGUACACCCCAGUUAGAACCCAAAAGUAGCUUUAACCCCCAUUGAAGCUGAGAAACAAGUCAAGCUUUUUGUCAUGAGUCAGGCUUCAUUUUGUCAGUUGCUCUUCAGUGUGUGCAAUGUUUACCAAGCACAAGUGGGAGGAAUCCGAGGUAGGUGUGGGUGUGCACAGAUGUGUGCCCCCUUAGCUGUAUUUGUGUGAAAGGGAAGCUCUUCUCUGAGGAGGCAAGUGAGCCAUUGGUUAUUUUCUGUAUUUCAGAAACCAUUUGUAACCCUGCAUCACAGAAGUCAAUGUCUAUGAUGUUGUACAUCCACCCAGCACUCUUUAUAUCAGAGAUUGGUCUAGGCUUCUCUGCAUA
This 1048-nucleotide long non-coding RNA is filed under the name Marmota monax (woodchuck). Lineage: Eukaryota; Metazoa; Chordata; Mammalia; Rodentia; Sciuridae. The record is from RNAcentral.